CCAGGUUGACCUCGGAUCAGGUAGGGAUACCCGCUGAAC
Molecule: ribosomal RNA, 39 nt
Filed under: uncultured Aspergillus
Lineage: Eukaryota; Fungi; Ascomycota; Eurotiomycetes; Eurotiales; Aspergillaceae
Description: partial 28S ribosomal RNA
Source: RNAcentral